Podarcis lilfordi (Lilford's wall lizard) is the source of this 76-nucleotide non-coding RNA. NCBI's taxonomy places the organism in Eukaryota, Metazoa, Chordata, Lepidosauria, Squamata, Lacertidae. The record is from the annotation of a GenBank genome assembly.
GGAGGCAUGGCUUAGUGGUAAGAGUGUUUGCCUUAAAUGCAAAAAAUAUCCCUGAUUCAAUUUCCAAGCAUCUCCA